AUUAGAAGUAGCACCGGAUCAGAAACUCUUUUGUAAAUUUCUUCUGCAGUAAGGGACAACAAUUUUUCUCCUUCUUUAUCCAUAAUUAUUCCAAUUGUUGAGCCUGAGUUAUCUUUGAGAUCCACAUCAAACCUGCACUUAUAGUAUUAUAUAUGUAAAACAUAGUGAUUUGAUUUUUUUGAAUAAGAAGAAUGUGAAACAAUAUAUGGGCAGAUACAUAUUAUAAAGUACCUGGGUUCUAACAGAUUUUUCUGGUCGCAGUUCAUACAAUGAAUUUAUGUUAUGGUUGGAUAGCGUACGUCUUGUCCGCAGUUUGAACAGACCAACAUAUAGAAUUUCUUAAGGUCAAUGGGAAAGGUUAUUUUUGCCUCAAUUGUAAAUGUCUGGCCCUGUGUUAGGAGAAAGAUAAGGAUGAGAAUUAUUAUAGUAGAUUUGGAGCUGAAGUAAAGGGAAAAUGGUGUACUGACAUCUUGUUGUGAGUCAAUGUUUGCAAUAGGUACCACUUGUUCAAUCUUCAUCCUUUGGAACAGAGAUAAGAAAUCAUGUACUCAAUUGCAUUCUUAUUUAAUGGGCGCGCAGGCUUAGGGCACGGCAAACUUCUGAUGAGCUGGAGAUGGAGGAGGGUGAUGAAAUCGAUGCAAUGCUACAUCAAACUGGAUGCUGCACUUGUUUCUCUAAUUUUUAACUUGGUUUAUGUUAGUAGAUUGUUUAGGGUGAUACUUUCAACUCCCUCAUCUGCUCUAA
Solanum stenotomum is the source of this 744-nucleotide long non-coding RNA. RefSeq lists it as uncharacterized. The record is from RefSeq and is a predicted model, not a curated record. Lineage: Eukaryota; Viridiplantae; Streptophyta; Magnoliopsida; Solanales; Solanaceae. The transcript has 2 exons.